AUCAGAGGCACCGAGGUCGGCCAGAAUGUGCUUGAGAAGAGCCAGCAGAGACUCAUCACGAAGGUCUAUGCUGAGGAGAUGGUGUUUGAGCCAAUCUCUUGAUAAUGCCAUGCUUGUGAUCCAAGCAGCAGGAUCCUGAUGGUCCCUAAAGGAGAGAUGAUAGAAGCACCUGGCCCAGUGAAGAACACGCAAUAAAUAUAAUUAAAGAAGCA
This 212-nucleotide long non-coding RNA is filed under the name Piliocolobus tephrosceles (Ugandan red Colobus). Its description in RNAcentral is "lncRNA (ENSPTEG00000037189.1)". The record is from RNAcentral. Lineage: Eukaryota; Metazoa; Chordata; Mammalia; Primates; Cercopithecidae.